This 253-nucleotide ribosomal RNA is filed under the name uncultured bacterium. Its description in RNAcentral is "partial 16S ribosomal RNA". It matches the Rfam family "Bacterial small subunit ribosomal RNA", at positions 524 to 776 of the family's 1533-position model. The record is from RNAcentral.
GACAGAGGAUGCAAGCGUUAUCCGGAAUUAUUGGGCGUAAAGGGCGCGUAGGCGGCUGAACAAGUCAAAGGUGAAAUCCCCCGGCUCAACCGGGGAACGGGCACCGAUACGGGCGGCCUCGAGGGGGGUAGGGGGGUCUGGAACUUCCGGUGGAGCGGUGAAAUGCGUUGAGAUCGGAAGGAACGCCCGUGGCGAAAGCGAGGCCCUGGACCCUUUCUGACGCUGAGACGCGAAAGCCAGGGGAGCGAACGGG